Molecule: long non-coding RNA, 784 nt
Filed under: Anser brachyrhynchus (Pink-footed goose)
Lineage: Eukaryota; Metazoa; Chordata; Aves; Anseriformes; Anatidae
Description: lncRNA (ENSABRG00000004695.1)
Source: RNAcentral
UCUUGUGCAACCCCAAACAACUUUCCUAGAUAAAUGACUCAUUGUUUUUACUCAUUACAGGGUGUAAAGCUGAUUCACUACAGCAAGCCUCGUACACUUGGCAGGGUUAUGAAGUUUCUGUGUUUAGGCGGCAUCGAUCACUUUGAAAUACCUUCUAAAUAGAAUGACUGAAUUGAUGCGGCUGUUUGGUGCCAUCUGUGGUGUAAAUGUCUUCUGUCUUCCUUCAUGCACAUACAGAUGAAUUCUCUGUAGUUUCUCCAGAGGUGAUAACGACAAGGCUCCUUCCCUCUGGAAACACAUGCAACUUUGCUGGCAUAAUAGAAACACCGAAAGGGAGAACCAGCAGCAGAUGCAGAAGCAGAAGGACUGGGAUAAGCAAGUGGAAACCUAAAGGGGCAGCUGACAACAGAGUGGUGUUGAAGCCGAUUCAUCCUAAAGGGCAGUCCACUCACCCUCACUCAAGAGAACAGAAAGGUGAAGACCAGGGUGAGAGAAAAGAGCUCCCCACCCCGCCCCACAGUGUUUUAGUUGUGGAGAACUUGAGCCAUUUCUGUUUCACUAGCAAAGAAAGGAAAAAGGAAAGGCCAAUACAAAAAGAUUUUAAUUUUAAAUACAAUAUGACUAUAUAUGCAUGCAAAUUAGGUGAGACACUCAGUGUGUCCAAGUUAAAGCAAUGUUUUAAAAACUGUAAUCUGCUUUUUGUAGAGUUCCUUAAUUCCAGUGUGUAUUACAAAAUAUAUGCAGUGUGAAUAAAACCUGAGCUUCCCUAAUAACUCAUUGGUGA